GAUGAACGCUAGCGGCAGGCCUAAUACAUGCAAGACGAACGGUAAGUUGAGUAGCAAUACUUAGCCAAGAGUGUCGUACGGGUGCGUAACACGUAUGCAACCUACCCUAUACAGGAGGAUAGCCUAGGGAAACCUGGAUUAACCCUUCCAUAGUAUUAUUGGAUGGCAUCAUUUGAUAAUUAAAACUGAGGUGGUAUAGGAUGGGCAUGCGUCUGAUUAGUUAGUUGGCGGGGUAAUGGCCCACCAAGACGAUGAUCAGUAGGGGUUCUGAGAGGAAGAUCCCCACACUGGCACUGAGAUACGGGCCGAGACUCCUACGGGAGGCAGC
RNAcentral lists this ribosomal RNA (328 nucleotides) under uncultured bacterium. RNAcentral describes it as "bacterial SSU rRNA". It matches the Rfam family "Bacterial small subunit ribosomal RNA", at positions 28 to 352 of the family's 1533-position model. The record is from RNAcentral.